CCGUCGACUUUAAAAAUCGUGAGGGUUCAAGUCCCUCUAUCCCCAAAAAG
Molecule: transfer RNA, 50 nt
Filed under: Trema micranthum
Lineage: Eukaryota; Viridiplantae; Streptophyta; Magnoliopsida; Rosales; Cannabaceae
Description: tRNA-Leu
Source: RNAcentral